GGCAAGCGUUGUCCGGAAUUAUUGGGCGUAAAGGGCUCGCAGGCGGUUUCUUAAGUCUGAUGUGAAAGCCCCCGGCUCAACCGGGGAGGGUCAUUGGAAACUGGGAAACUUGAGUGCAGAAGAGGAGAGUGGAAUUCCACGUGUAGCGGUGAAAUGCGUAGAGAUGUGGAGGAACACCAGUGGCGAAGGCGACUCUCUGGUCUGUAACUGACGCUGAGGAGCGAAAGCGUGGGGAGCGAACAGGAUUAGAUACCCUGGUAGUCCACGCCGUAAACGAUGAGUGCUAAGUGUUAGGGGGUUUCCGCCCCUUAGUGCUGCAGCUAACGCAUUAAGCACUCCGCCUGGGGAGUACGGUCGCAAGACUGAAACUCAAAGGAAUUGACGGGGGCCCGCACAAGCGGUGGAGCAUGUGGUUUAAUUCGAAGCAACGCGAAGAACCUUACCAGGUCUUGACAUCCUCUGACAACCCUAGAGAUAGGGCUUUCCCUUCGGGGACAGAGU
Molecule: ribosomal RNA, 501 nt
Filed under: uncultured Bacillota bacterium
Lineage: Bacteria; Bacillati; Bacillota
Description: bacterial SSU rRNA
Rfam family: Bacterial small subunit ribosomal RNA
Source: RNAcentral